GUGCCAGCCGCCGCGGUAAUACGGAGGGUGCAAACGUUGCUCGGAAUCAUUGGGCGUAAAGCGCACGUAGGCGGUCCUACAAGUCGGGUGUGAAAGCCCUCGGCUCAACCGAGGAAGUGCAUCCGAAACUGUAGAACUUGAGUAGUGAAGAGGGUCUCGGAAUUCCCGGUGUAGAGGUGAAAUUCGUAGAUAUCGGGAGGAACACCAGCGGCGAAGGCGGAGACCUGGGCACAUACUGACGCUGAGGUGCGAAAGCGUGGGGAGCAAACAGGAUUAGAUACCCGUGUAGUCC
This 292-nucleotide ribosomal RNA is filed under the name uncultured bacterium. RNAcentral's name for it is "partial 16S ribosomal RNA". It matches the Rfam family "Bacterial small subunit ribosomal RNA", at positions 505 to 796 of the family's 1533-position model. The record is from RNAcentral.